CGCACCGGUCAACUGCUGCUUUUUUAAUAAGUAGAGGAAAGUCCGUACUGACACUACCUGUGAUGGUAGUAGUGUUCAUGUUGGGCCCAAUAAGCCCAAGCCUAGACGACAAGUGCCACAGAGACGAGCUUAUUUUAAAUAAGGUGAAACGCGGUAAACUCCAUGAGUCAGAAACCCAAAUUUUGGUAGGGGAGCUCAAUAAUGGGAACCGAACCUAAUUUGAGAACUUAAUUAUUAAGUUAGAGAAAUAGUUGACACCAUGAUUACAUGGUACAGAAUACGGCUUAUAGGU
Molecule: RNase P RNA, 292 nt
Filed under: Mycoplasma iguanae
Lineage: Bacteria; Bacillati; Mycoplasmatota; Mollicutes; Mycoplasmatales; Mycoplasmataceae
Description: RNase P RNA component class B
Rfam family: Bacterial RNase P class B
About the family: Ribonuclease P (RNase P) is a ubiquitous endoribonuclease, found in archaea, bacteria and eukarya as well as chloroplasts and mitochondria. Its best characterised activity is the generation of mature 5'-ends of tRNAs by cleaving the 5'-leader elements of precursor-tRNAs.
Source: RNAcentral